GUCUUUUUGAAAAAAUUUAAGGUCCAAUCUGCUCACUGAAUUAUUAAAGAGCCGCAGUAUAUUGACUGUGCAAAGGUAGCAUAAUCAAUAGUUUUUUAAUUGAAAACUUGUAUGAAAGAUUAGACAAAAAAUUUAUUUUCUUUAUUUUAGUAAAUUGAAAUUUAAUUUUAAGUGAAAAUGCUUAAUUUUUAUUAAAAGACGAGAAGACCCUAUAGAUUUUUAUUAUUGAAAUAAAUUUUAUUUUUAAAUUUAAUAAAAUAAUUUAAUUGGGGCGAUUUUGUAAUAUAUAAAACUUAAUUUUUUAAAACCAUAAAUAAUUGAAUAUUUUGAUCUAAAAUUUUUAAAGAAAGAUUAAAUUACCUUAGGGAUAACAGCGUAAUUUUAUUUAAGAGUUCAUAUCUAUAAUAAAGUUUGCGACCUCGAUGUUGAAUUAAGAUAAUAUAUUGGAGUAGAAAUUAAUAUAAUUAGUCUGUUCGACUAUUAAAUUCU
RNAcentral lists this ribosomal RNA (489 nucleotides) under Psocus bipunctatus. RNAcentral's name for it is "partial 16S ribosomal RNA". The stretch from base 367 to 489 matches the Rfam family "Bacterial large subunit ribosomal RNA", at positions 2473 to 2596 of the family's 2925-position model. The record is from RNAcentral. Lineage: Eukaryota; Metazoa; Arthropoda; Insecta; Psocodea; Psocidae.